CCCGAAGCUUCCUUCUAACAUAGAGAAACAAGAAUCCUCAAGAAGAUAUGAGUUAUCUUCAUCCUAAUUAUUUGGAGUGGUCUAGGCUUUACUUUUGAUGCUUCUCUCUUUUUUAGCACCCCUUAAAUUGGUCUGAUAUUUUUUCUUAAAGAAACUAUGGAGGAGUGUAUGUUGGCCUGCCCUCUGAAGCCGCCAGUGUGGUGUCUGGUCAGGCAAAGACUGUACGAAAAAGUUAGGGGAAAAUGCGAUGGGUGGACACUCCAGAAGCUUGCUCAUGAAUUUGGAAGGAAUUUGGCUCCAUGGACAUUGUAUGUACACAGAUAUCUUCAAACAAAUCCUGAGUGGUCUGUGCCACCUCCCCCCGAUCCUAACUGUUUUAAAGCCAGGAGUCUACACCAAAUUGUGGUCAUAGGAGGAAAUGGGUGAGACUCUGUGUCGUCCACCAGUGAAAACCAUAAAGGCUGUUGCUGCCCAGCCUGCACCAUCAGGCUCUGCACCAUAGCAUUCCCAUCCUGGCCUUUCAACACAUUUCACGAAGUCAUGUCUUUUCACUGAUACUCUUUUGAUAGUUUUUAUAUAACACAGUCCUUCUUGUAUUUAUAACAUGGUAUUUGGGCCACGUAAAGGGGUGACCUGAGCUGAUACAUUGCCUCUUGUCCUUUGAUGUUUCUACUUCAUUAUUUUUUAGCUGUAAAGUUGGUAAAUGGAUUCUUACAACUAUCUCCCUUUUUUACUAGCUGAUUUAAGUUUUUUAUUUAAAUGUCAGAGGAUUCCUUUUGUUUAAGAACACUUCAGUACUUGAAAAUGAACUUGUCAAGUUUGCAUGCUGUGCCCACGUGUGGAUUACGGUCCCAUUUUCUUCAAUCAAAGCUUAUGUCAUUGUAACAUUCUGUAGCUGUCCAGUUGCCUCUUCUCCCCUCCUGGAAUCGAAGGAUGUCACUGUGCAAACUCCGAACUGUCUCUUAGGACUGUGGUUGAUGUUUAGUGGGAUAUCUGGAAAGUUCUUAAUUUGCUAACAACGUGUAUAUCUACUUAUGACUGCAGGCUAAGCGACUCAGUUUACCAGUGUAUUUCAACAAUUAAAUAUUUUUAUUCCUCU
Molecule: long non-coding RNA, 1099 nt
Filed under: Meriones unguiculatus (Mongolian gerbil)
Lineage: Eukaryota; Metazoa; Chordata; Mammalia; Rodentia; Muridae
Description: lncRNA (ENSMUGG00000026406.1)
Source: RNAcentral